This 131-nucleotide ribosomal RNA is filed under the name Arabidopsis thaliana (thale cress). The record is from RNAcentral. Lineage: Eukaryota; Viridiplantae; Streptophyta; Magnoliopsida; Brassicales; Brassicaceae.
CGAUAUACUAACGGAUGCGAUCAUACCAGCACUAAUGCACCGGAUCCCAUCAGAACUCCGCAGUUAAGCGUGCUUGGGCGAGAGUAGUACUAGGACGGGUGACCUCCCGGGAAGUCCUCGUGUUGCAUCCC